AGAGUUUGAUCCUGGCUCAGGAUGAACGCUGGCGGCGUGCUUAACACAUGCAAGUCGAACGAAGCACUUUAUUUGAUUUCCUUCGGGACUGAUUAUUUUGUGACUGAGUGGCGGACGGGUGAGUAACGCGUGGGUAACCUGCCUUGUACAGGGGGAUAACAGUUGGAAACGGCUGCUAAUACCGCAUAAGCGCACGGCAUCGCAUGAUGCAGUGUGAAAAACUCCGGUGGUAUAAGGUGGACCCGCGUUGGAUUAGCUAGUUGGUGAGGUAACGGCCCACCAAGGCGACGAUCCAUAGCCGACCUGAGAGGGUGACCGGCCACAUUGGGACUGAGACACGGCCCAAACUCCUACGGGAGGCAGCAGUGGGGAAUAUUGCACAAUGGGCGAAAGCCUGAUGCAGCGACGCCGCGUGAGCGAAGAAGUAUUUCGGUAUGUAAAGCUCUAUCAGCAGGGAAGAUAAUGACGGUACCUGACUAAGAAGCACCGGCUAAAUACGUGCCAGCAGCCGCGGUAAUACGUAUGGUGCAAGCGUUAUCCGGAUUUACUGGGUGUAAAGGGAGCGCAGGCGGUGCGGCAAGUCUGAUGUGAAAGCCCGGGGCUCAACCCCGGUACUGCAUUGGAAACUGUCGUACUAGAGUGUCGGAGGGGUAAGCGGAAUUCCUAGUGUAGCGGUGAAAUGCGUAGAUAUUAGGAGGAACACCAGUGGCGAAGGCGGCUUACUGGACGAUAACUGACGCUGAGGCACGAAAGCGUGGGGAGCAAACAGGAUUAGAUACCCUGGUAGUCCACGCCGUAAACGAUGGAUACUAGGUGUAGGCAUCGUAAGAUGUCUGUGCCGCAGCAAACGCAUUAAGUAUCCCGCCUGGGGAGUACGACCGCAAGGUUGAAACUCAAAGGAAUUGACGGGGGCCCGCACAAGCAGCGGAGCAUGUGGUUUAAUUCGAAGCAACGCGAAGAACCUUACCAAGGCUUGACAUCCUCUGACCGCCAUAGAGAUAUGGCUUCCCUUCGGGGCAGAGAGACAGGUGGUGCAUGGUUGUCGUCAGCUCGUGUCGUGAGAUGUUGGGUUAAGUCCCGCAACGAGCGCAACCCUUAUCAUUAGUUGCCAGCGAGUAACGUCGGGAACUCUAAUGAGACUGCCGGGGACAACUCGGAGGAAGGUGGGGACGACGUCAAAUCAUCAUGCCCCUUAUGUCUUGGGCUACACACGUGCUACAAUGGCCGGUACAAAGAGCUGCGAAACCGUAAGGUCAAGCGAAUCUCAAAAAGCCGGUCCCAGUUCGGAUUGUGGGCUGCAACCCGCCCACAUGAAGUCGGAGUUGCUAGUAAUCGCGAAUCAGCAUGUCGCGGUGAAUGCGUUCCCGGGCCUUGUACACACCGCCCGUCACACCAUGGAAGUUGGGGGUACCCGAAGCCGGUGGCCUAGCCGCAAGGAGGGGGCCGUCGAAGGUAAAACCAAUGACUGGGGUGAAGUCGUAACAAGGUA
This 1489-nucleotide ribosomal RNA is filed under the name metagenome. RNAcentral describes it as "bacterial SSU rRNA". It matches the Rfam family "Bacterial small subunit ribosomal RNA". The record is from RNAcentral.